Molecule: long non-coding RNA, 1132 nt
Filed under: Homo sapiens (human)
Lineage: Eukaryota; Metazoa; Chordata; Mammalia; Primates; Hominidae
Description: small nucleolar RNA host gene 1
Source: RNAcentral
UCUCAUUUUUCUACUGCUCGUGGAUUUACGCGCACGUUGGAACCGAAGAGAGCUCUGUUGUUGCAAUGUUCAGCCCACAAGAGCUUACUGGUGAAGGAAUGGGACAAGACCCAUCUUUAUGCAAAGCCAGCGUUACAGUAAUGUUCCAGCAUCUCAUAAUCUAUCCUGGGGAAUUCAGCUGCCUCCCAGGGUGAAUACAGGUAUUCCUGAUGACAGUCUGCCUCUAUCUUACAGAGCAGCUUGUUGCUAUAUACCAUUGAAAAGCCUUCAGAGCUGAGAGCUUUGUUUUUCUCUAGGUACUACUAACCAAUAACCUGCUUGGCUCAAAGGGCCAGCACCUUCUCUCUAAAGCCCAAGAGGAGUUUGAGGAAAACUAGGUGUCUGUGUUCACUCCAGGCUGAAGUUACAGGUCUGAGCAAAUAAGGUGUAUAAAAAAUGGAAUCUGUCUUGGAGGACAUCAGAAGGUGAAUUUUCCAAGUUCUUGGACAACCUAGCUGUUGAAAAGCUUUCUGGGUUUGGGGGGUAUUUCAGAUGUACCUUAAAGUGUUAGCAGACACAGAUUAAGACACUGGGAGCCAAUGAAACAGCAGUUGAGGGUUUGCUGUGUAUCACAUUUCUGUAUUUUAUCACCCCCUUCCUGCAACAUUAUUUAUCUGGAAUCUACCUGCCCUUUUGUUUUUUAGAUACAAGGGCUUGGUUUUGUUACCCAGGCUGGUUUCAAGGCCAUAGCUUUAAGAGAUCCUCUCACCACAGAUUUCCAAAGUGCUGGGAUUGCAGGUGUGAUUCAUGGCACCCAGACUUUGCUGCCUUUCUUACAUGAUCCAGGCCCAGAACCCAAACUCAGGCACUGUAUAGAUGACCACUUUCGUAAACUACUGACCUAGCUUGUUGCCAAUUGUUGAUUGAACUUCCCAUAACUCCACUUCGUGUCUGUUCCUCUGUAUACAGCCACCUUCUGUUCCCGUCAUGAGCCUUUAGGUCUCCAUUUGCAUAUUGCAAAUACUAUGUUCCAUGUAGGUAGCUCAUUCAGGGCCUUGCUCUUCACUUCAAAAAAGGUUCCCUUGAGGACUGGCUGUCAAUUUGUGUUGCUGUGUUGGUUGUUGAUGAAAAUAAUAAAAUGAUUGAUUACAUA